GAACCGGACAAACGUUAUUCGGAAUCACUGGGCUUAAAGGGUGCGUAGGCGGCGCGGCAAGUCGGAUGUGAAAUCCCCCGGCUCAACCGGGGAACUGCGUCCGAAACUGCUGUGCUCGAGGGAGAUAGGGGUGAGCGGAACUCACGGUGGGGCGGUGAAAUGCGUUGAUAUCGUGAGGAACGCCGGUGGCGAAAGCGGCUCACUGGAUCUCUUCUGACGCUGAGGCACGAAAGCUAGGGGAGCGAACGGGGGAUUAGAUACCCCGGUAGUCCUAGCUGUAAACGAUGAGCACUUGGUUGGAGGGGCCCCCCCCAUACCCCCUUCCGGCCGUAGCGAAAGUGUUAAGUGCUCCGCCUGGGGAGUAUGGCCCGCAAGGCUG
This 379-nucleotide ribosomal RNA is filed under the name uncultured organism. RNAcentral's name for it is "partial 16S ribosomal RNA". It matches the Rfam family "Bacterial small subunit ribosomal RNA", at positions 527 to 896 of the family's 1533-position model. The record is from RNAcentral.